This is a long non-coding RNA of Poecile atricapillus (Black-capped chickadee), 1502 nucleotides long. RefSeq lists it as uncharacterized. The record is from RefSeq and is a predicted model, not a curated record. The transcript is spliced from 3 exons. NCBI's taxonomy places the organism in Eukaryota, Metazoa, Chordata, Aves, Passeriformes, Paridae.
GUGAUUUUUGUCUGUUUUUGCUCUGUUUUUCCCCAUUUUUUGGUGGUUUUUGUCCAUUCCUGCUUUGGUUUCCCCGUUUUUAGGUGAUUUUUGUCCAUUCCUCAUUUGGGUUCCCCAUUUUUAGGUGAUUUUUGUCCAUUCCUCAUUUGGGUUCCCCAUUUUUAGGUGAUUUUUGUCUGUUCUUGCUGUGUUUUUCCCCAUUUUUAGGUGAUUUUUGUCUCUUUUUGCUUUGUUUUCCCCCAUUUUUAGGUGAUUUUUGUCCCUUCCUGAUUUGGGUUCCCCAUUUUCAGGUGAUUUUUGUCUGUUUUUGCUUUGUUUUUCCCCAUUUUUAGGUGAUUUUUGUCCCUUCUUGCUUUGCUUCACCUCAUUCCCAGGGGGGUUUCACCCUUCCCCAUCCACUUUGUCCCCAUUUUUAGGUGAUUUUUGUCCCUUCCUGAUUUGGUUUCCCCAUUUUCAGGUGAUUUUUGUCUGUUCUUGCUGUGUUUUUCCCCAUUUUUAGGUGAUUUUUGUCUCUUUUUGCUUUGUUUUUCCCCAUUUUUAGGUGAUUUUUGUCUGUUCUUGCUUUGUUUUCCCCCAUUUUUAGGUGAUUUUUGUCUGUUCUUGCUUUGUUUUCCCCCAUUUUUAGGUGAUUUUUGUCUGUUCUUGCUUUGUUUUCCCCCAUUUUUAGGUGAUUUUUGUCUGUUUUUGCUCUGUUUUCCCCAUUUUUAGGUGAUUUUUGUCCAUUCCUGCUUUGCUUCGCCUCCUUCCCGCGGGGGUUUGGCCCUUCCACAUCCGCUUUGUCCCCGUUUUUGGGUGAUUUUUGGUUUGCUUUGCCCCAUUUUUAGGUGAUUUUUGUCUGGUUUUGCUUUGUUUUUCCCCAUUUUUAGGUGAUUUUUGUCUGUUCUUGCUCUGUUUUCCCCCAUUUUUAGGUGAUUUUUGUCCAUUCCUCAUUUGGGUUCCCCAUUUUUAGGUGAUUUUUGUCUGUUCUUGCUGUGUUUUUCCCCAUUUUUAGGUGAUUUUUGUCCAUUCCUGCUUUGCUUCGCCUCCUUCCCGCGGGGAUUUGGCCCUUCCACAUCCGCUUUGUCCCCGUUUUUAGGUGAUUUUUGUCUCUUUUUGCUUUGUUUUUCCCCAUUUUUAGGUGAUUUUUGUCUCUUUUUGCUUUGUUUUUCCCCAUUUUUAGGUGAUUUUUGUCCCUUCCCGAUUUGGUUUCCCCGUUUUCAGGUGAUUUUUGUCUGUUUUUGCUCUGUUUUUCCCCAUUUUUUGGUGGUUUUUGUCCAUUCCUGAUUUGGUUUCCCCAUUUUUAAGUGAUUUUUGUCCCUUCCUGAUUUGGUUUCCCCAUUUCCAGGUGACUUUUCCCUUCCUCUGCCUCAGUUUCUCUCUCUCCACGUUACCUUUCACAUUUCCCCAUUUUCUCGCUGCUUUCCCACAUCCCUGCCUCAGUUUCCCCCAAUUAAAUGUCAAUUAAAACCUUUAAUUCCCUUUGUUUUCAUUUUCAUUUUUCCUGCCUCAAUUCCUGCAUUUUC